Schistosoma margrebowiei is the source of this 45-nucleotide non-coding RNA. The record is from Rfam. NCBI's taxonomy places the organism in Eukaryota, Metazoa, Platyhelminthes, Trematoda, Strigeidida, Schistosomatidae.
AUUAAGCUGACGAGUCGUAAACAGGAUGAAACUGACGUCCUGAAU